RNAcentral lists this long non-coding RNA (683 nucleotides) under Octopus vulgaris (common octopus). Lineage: Eukaryota; Metazoa; Mollusca; Cephalopoda; Octopoda; Octopodidae. The record is from RNAcentral.
CAAAAACAUUUUUUAAACAAGCAACAAUAAUGGGGAUUUUUUAUUUUCUUAUUGUCUUAUUUCUUAUUUUCCAGAUGGCCAGUUGCUUGACUUUUCAAGGGUGAGCUAAGAUAGCAGCAUGCUAUGAAGUGUGGAAUUCCAUUGUUUUGGUUCAGAUAUGGUGGCAUGCCUGGAAAGGUAAGCAUCCAACACUACAUCCAGAGACAAUAAAAAGUUGCCAUGCAAAGCUGAUGACUACAGGCUCUGUGAACAGUGCAAGAAGUGGCCAUCCAAACAUAUCCCGAUCAGCGGAGAACAUGGCAACAGUGCAAGAAAUGUUUAAUUGCAAUCUGCAAAAAUCAGCACAUCAAGUAGCUCAUGAAAGUAGACAAACAAGACACACAAUAUGUACAAUGUUGCAUAAAGAAUUGAAUUUUUGUCCGUGAAAAUCCCAUUACAGUUUACAAGGAGGAGGUGUACAAGACAGUGCCUCGCACACUUGAAGACAUGGAGACACAGAUUCAGGAGGUUCUCAAGGAUAUUCCAGGUGGCAUCUUUCAGAAGGUUGUUCAUUCCAUCUAUCCCUGACUGUUUGAGGAAACUGGUUGAUGCCACCAGUGCUUUUGUUGAAAUAUGAAGAUUCACUUUUAUUUUCCCAUGUAAUAAAGAAUAUAUCAUUUGUUUCAAUAAAUUUGUAAAAGGAA